This is a long non-coding RNA of Argiope bruennichi, 1052 nucleotides long. RefSeq lists it as uncharacterized. The transcript has 3 exons. Lineage: Eukaryota; Metazoa; Arthropoda; Arachnida; Araneae; Araneidae. The record is from RefSeq and is a predicted model, not a curated record.
AAUGCACUUUCAAAUUGACAUCUUUACAUAAAACGCAAUUGAGACAUUUGAAUGACUGAGGAGUCUUUGCCUUCGAUUCGCCUCUUUCAAUAAAAUGCAAGUGUCCUGCAGUUUCAUAAUGUGUAUCCACUUGAAUUUGAUAAUGGCAGGUUGUAUUUAAGUUGGAGGCAAGAGCCAGUUUUGAUCAGACUUUGCCGAACGAAAAAUAAAGAUAAAUUACAGCAUAUUCUGAUUGAGCAGUAUGCUGCCGAGAAGAAAUUAUUCAAAUCUUCAAGAGCGGCAUAUUUUUCACUUGUAAGGCAGCUAUCUUCUUGGAUCCAGAUACAAAUUCGAACGACUCCAGUUAUUUUUGGAUGAUGGGAAGGAAGAUAUCAAAUGAACUAGGCAAAUCAAUUUCAUUUCAUACUUCACAUGUUGAUGCCAUUUCUCUAAAUAAAUGCGUGCAGGGCCACUUCCACCUCAGUUCCAUGGAUAUCUUCGAGGGGUAGAAACUGAUCUGGAUGUGAAGGAAAAUAUUUUUUGAAUGAUUAGCACUUUGAUGCCAUAAUUCAAAGGAAUGGCUUCAAGAUUUGACCAUGACCGAAACUAUAAGCUUGAAUAAGUAUGAAGUUAUUAAAAAGUUAAGCACUCAAGUAAAUUACAUAUGGAGAUCCAUAAAGAUCCAAGUAUGGAUGAUUUGUCAAAUUUGUGACAUUAUACCAACUUCAACAUAUGUUAUUAAAGUGCUUUGAUACAAACCAACUAUAUAUAGAUAGAAAUGUCUCAGUAAAGCGAAAAUGCGAUACUUCAUGCAAUCAGAAUUAUUUUUGGAAGACGAAGCGGGGCAUCUUUAAAAGUUUUGCUAAAAGGAUCACUGAUAUUGAAUAUCAUUUGGCUUUAACAGGGUCAGAAGUUAAAACCCAAUAUCGUCAUAGCGCGCUAAAAAUAGACUUAGUAGAAAGUAACCCAAGAGUAACAAAAAUAGUUGCGCUACAGGCUGUUGAAAAUAUUGUGAGGAAAGAAGAUAAAAUAAACUAGAAAUGUAUCGCAUGAAGAAUUUCUCUGAAAAACUA